This 573-nucleotide ribosomal RNA is filed under the name Trigonopterus barbipes. RNAcentral describes it as "partial 16S ribosomal RNA". The record is from RNAcentral. Lineage: Eukaryota; Metazoa; Arthropoda; Insecta; Coleoptera; Curculionidae.
AUAGAAACCGACCUGGCUUACACCGGUUUAAACUCAGAUCAUGUAAAAUUUUAAAGGUCGAACAGACCUAACCUAUUAGCUUCUCCACCAAUAAUUAAUUUUAAUCCAACAUCGAGGUCGCAAUCUUUUUUUUCGAUAAGAACUCUAAAAAAAAUUACGCUGUUAUCCCUAAGGUAAUUUAUUCUUUUAAUCUAAACUUUAGGAUCAUAAACAUAUGAAUUAAUAUAAUACAAAAAAGAAAAGUUAUUCCAAUUUUCCUAUCACCCCAACAAAAUAAAUAAAACCAUAUAUAUAUACAUUAACCUUUAUCCUCAUAAACAUUUUUUAUUCAUAAAACUCUAUAGGGUCUUCUCGUCUUCUACAAAAAUCUAAGCUUUUUUACUUAAAAAUAAAAUUUUAAUAAAUUUUCCUAGAGACAGCUAUUUUCUCAUCAAACCUUUCAUACAAGCUCCCAAUUAAAAAACUAUUGACUAUGCUACCUUUGCACGGUCAAAAUACCGCGGCCAUUCAACAUAUCAGCGGGCAGGUCAGACCUGAAAUCAUAAUCAACAAGCCAUGUUUUUAAUAAACAGG